Globicephala melas (long-finned pilot whale) is the source of this 1614-nucleotide long non-coding RNA. RefSeq lists it as uncharacterized. NCBI's taxonomy places the organism in Eukaryota, Metazoa, Chordata, Mammalia, Artiodactyla, Delphinidae. The record is from RefSeq and is a predicted model, not a curated record.
UCAGAGAAAAGACAGAGGACAUUGUCCAGCCCCAUCUGUCGUGGCUGCAUUCCUUCCAGAUGCUUCCCGAGUGCCUGGCACACACAGGCACUGUCCUCACGUGCUCAGCUGGAGACUUGCUGAGGUUGAUGCCUGACACACAGCAGUCCCUCAGCACGUGGGCUGAGGGGAGGAGGGUGACUUCCUCCUGGAAGGGCAGCCGGGCCGCUGUCCCGUGCACGGGGCCCUAGGGCAGAUGGCAUUUGCUCUCUGCUAGAGCUGGCCCUCGAUGGGGUGCGGGUGUUCCUCUCACCACUCAGCCGGCCGCGGCGGCCCUGCCAGCCCACAUUCCUGAGUCACAGAGGAACCGGGCGGCCGGGCCGGUGUCGGAUUGCGCAGCCGUGGCUGCAGGACCGCUCUGUUUGCCGGGCUAAGGCGCUCUCCCCCGACUGCUGGAGCACAGACUCCGGAUGCGCAGGCUCAGCGGCCAUGGCUCACGGGCCCAGCCGCUCCGCGGCAUGUGGGAUCUUCCCGGACCGGGGCACGAACCCGUGUCCCCUGCGUCGGCAGGCGGACUCUCAACCACUGCGCCACCAGGGGAGCCCUAGAAUUUUUUCAUGUGUGUGAACACCACCACGUAAGCAGUAUCACAGAGCAUGUAUCAUCUUCACACUUGCUUCCGUUCCACGUUUAAUUGGGGGUUUUGAUCCUCGUGGAUUCAUUUCUGCUCUGGGAUGAUGGUCUGUUGUACGGAUCAGUGGGAAUUUCUUUAAAUGCAUUUUCCUCUUGGGGGAGAUUUUAGGUUGCUACCCUUCUUUCUAUCUUUCUUCCCUUUUAGCUCACUGUACACAAGGCUGCUCUGAACGUUCCUGUGUAUGUUCCUGAACACACGCGAGGGAGGUUUUUCUGGAAGCACCGGCGCUGGCCCCAGCUCUCUGAGAUGUCGCACCCAGAAAAGCUAACCUAGCCAGGGGGUAACCGUGCCCUCUUGGCUCCUGAAGUGUGAAGGAUACAGUCUCUUCGUCCUGGAAGACAGUGGAAGCCGUGGCGCUUUGUGGCAAGCUGAGAAACAUGACAGCCGAGGACACGGAAUUAAUGGAAGUCAUAAAGUUUUACCUCCACGACAUGUGCUCUUGAGAUCAUGAAGCUGUAGUCAACGACAAGCAGCGACUGACUGCAAGCAUGGGAUGCAGAACCCCUGUCUAACCACAAGGAGAACAUCCAACAAACCCAACUAGAAGAACAUUCCUUAGAAUACUGGACCUGUGCUCCUCAAAACUGCCAAGAUCAUCAAAAACAAGGAGAGUCUGAUGAGUCAAGAGGAAUCUAAGGAGACAGGAUUAAGUGUGAUGCGGCGUCCUGGAUGAGAUCCUGGAGCAGAAGGAGAGUGGGCGUUAGGUAAAAACUGAAGACAUCUGAAUAAAAUCCGGACUUCAGUUAGUGAUGUAACGAUACUGGUUCAUUCACUGUGACAAAUGUUAAUAAUUCUGUAAACCGGCUAUGGGCACGUGGGGCUGUGGACUAUCUUUGCACCUUUUCUGGAAAUUCAAAAUUGUUCUAAAAUGAAAAGCUUAUUUAAAAACUAAAAAGCAAGAAUACUGCUUAUCAGUUCUCUUUCCCAAACCUGGAAAUUCA